CUGAGAGGAGCUGGGGAGGACUGCGGGUCCCAGGUCGCCUCCUCUGGGGAGUAGCGGACUGCUGUCCAGACCAACUCCUGUCUGGCUAGAGGAGGGGAGACGUGUGGUGCGUGUGCUCGGCCUCACGUGGACGAUCUUCACUGGGCAGAACUGUGGUUUCCUUCAGUGGGGUGUGGUUUGCGGGUUAAGGGAGGAAGGAUGUGCUGCGAAGUGAGACCUCCUGGAUGCUGGCCAAAGAACUUGUCAGAAGAGCUUUAAAUCUGGUGAUAGUUUUUACUUCGGGACUAGGAAGAGUGUAUUCUAGACUACGCGCGUUCUCAAAAUGUUCAGUCUCAGGAUUUAAAAGAACAACCUGAACGCCAAGGUUAAGGAUCUAACCUGGAUCAUACAUGUCAGAAGAGUAUAAAACGACUCAGCCACCACAACUCCCAUGUACAUUACUUGCCAGGAGGGACGUGAUGCAUGAUAAGUGCAGAUUUCACCCUUCAUCAAAGAAGCUUCUCUUUGCAGCAGACUGAUUUAAAGACAAGCUCUCACUGCAUAGUCCAGACUGGACUUAAAACUUUUUCCUUCUAUCCUAGCCUUCCAGGUGGGUCUCGUGUAUCCCGAAUGGCCUCUGCCUUAAUGUAUUGCUAGCGAUGUCCUUGAACUCCUCAUCUCCUGCACCAGCCUCCCAAGUCUCUGGAUUACAGGAAUGU
Peromyscus leucopus (white-footed mouse) is the source of this 698-nucleotide long non-coding RNA. RefSeq lists it as uncharacterized. The transcript has 4 exons. The record is from RefSeq and is a predicted model, not a curated record. NCBI's taxonomy places the organism in Eukaryota, Metazoa, Chordata, Mammalia, Rodentia, Cricetidae.